CGAAAGCCUGACGGAGCAAUACCGCGUGAGGGAGGAAGGCUCUUGGGUUGUAAACCUCUUUUCUCAAGGAAUAAGAAAGUGAAGGUACUUGAGGAAUAAGCAUCGGCUAACUCCGUGCCAGCAGCCGCGGUAAUACGGAGGAUGCAAGCGUUAUCCGGAAUGAUUGGGCGUAAAGCGUCCGCAGGUGGCCCUGUAAGUCUGCUGUCAAAGCGCAAGGCUUAACCUUGUAAAGGCAGUGGAAACUACAGAGCUAGAGUGCGUUCGGGGCAGAAGGAAUUCCUGGUGUAGCGGUGAAAUGCGUAGAUAUCAGGAAGAACACCGGUGGCGAAAGCGUUCUGCUAGGCCGCAACUGACACUGAGGGACGAAAGCUAGGGGAGCG
This 380-nucleotide ribosomal RNA is filed under the name uncultured Cylindrospermum sp. RNAcentral describes it as "bacterial SSU rRNA". It matches the Rfam family "Bacterial small subunit ribosomal RNA", at positions 376 to 770 of the family's 1533-position model. Lineage: Bacteria; Bacillati; Cyanobacteriota; Cyanophyceae; Nostocales; Nostocaceae. The record is from RNAcentral.